GAGGAACCCGGUGAGAGUCCGGGGCGGUCCCGCCACUGUCACCCUCCUUGCCAGGGAGGGGAGCCAGGAACUC
RNAcentral lists this non-coding RNA (73 nucleotides) under Amycolatopsis orientalis HCCB10007. Lineage: Bacteria; Bacillati; Actinomycetota; Actinomycetes; Pseudonocardiales; Pseudonocardiaceae. The record is from RNAcentral.